AAUAAAAGGAAGUUAGGAGAAACCGGAAACGUGGGCCAGGCCUUGCUCUGUUGGAGAAGCGGUGUCCCCGCAAAGUCCCUGCUUGCGCUGGUCCCGGCCGGAGCCCAGAUCCCCCAAACGCCUGUCACUUCUCAUCGAGUUGAGGCUCAGGCCCCCACCCGCGCCUCGGUCACAGCGGAGUGAAUCAGCUCGGUGGUGUCUUUGUCAACGGGCGGCCACUGCCGGACUCCACCCGGCAGAAGAUUGUAGAGCUAGCUCACAGCGGGGCCCGGCCGUGCGACAUUUCCCGAAUUCUGCAGACCCAUGCAGAUGCAAAAGUCCAAGUGCUGGACAAUCAAAACGUGUCCAACGGAUGUGUGAGUAAAAUUCUGGGCAGGUAUUACGAGACUGGCUCCAUCAGACCCAGGGCAAUCGGUGGUAGUAAACCGAGAGUAGCGACUCCAGAAGUUGUAAGCAAAAUAGCCCAGUAUAAGCGGGAGUGCCCGUCCAUCUUUGCUUGGGAAAUCCGAGACAGAUUACUGUCCGAGGGGGUCUGUACCA
RNAcentral lists this small RNA (540 nucleotides) under Pan troglodytes (chimpanzee). RNAcentral describes it as "processed transcript". The record is from RNAcentral. Lineage: Eukaryota; Metazoa; Chordata; Mammalia; Primates; Hominidae.